GAAAACAUUGGAUACUUAUAAUUAUGGAUUUUGAUAACCAAUUGUGCUAUUUCCUGGAUUCUCUUGACAAUUUUCAACCAGAUGAAAUCAAAUCUCACAUUUCUUGUGUCUUUCAACAUUUGCGCACAAAUAAUGCGAAAACUAAGGAAGUCGUGUAGAGAACUGUUAAGUGUCCUCGUCAACAAUCAAAAUCAGUAAAAUGUGGAUUCUAUGUUAUGAGGAUGAUGAAAGACUUCGUGACAAAUGAGUUUUCAAUGCGAUGGCUAACUAGUAAAUGUGGCGAGAAGAACUCUUACACAAAGGAUGAGAUCAAUGAAGUACGUGAAGAAUAGGCA
This is a long non-coding RNA of Humulus lupulus (European hop), 335 nucleotides long. RefSeq lists it as uncharacterized. The record is from RefSeq and is a predicted model, not a curated record. NCBI's taxonomy places the organism in Eukaryota, Viridiplantae, Streptophyta, Magnoliopsida, Rosales, Cannabaceae. The transcript has 3 exons.